Molecule: long non-coding RNA, 229 nt
Filed under: Mytilus galloprovincialis (Mediterranean mussel)
Lineage: Eukaryota; Metazoa; Mollusca; Bivalvia; Mytilida; Mytilidae
Source: RNAcentral
CCUCCAUUUUGUCAUCAGUAACAAUAUAUUAAAAUUUGAGAAGCUUUGGUAGAACAGUUCAUGCGUAAAUGCACGGACACGACUGAAAACUCCAUUUUUCAAUCUUUCAAGAACCAUAACUCCUGAACCGUAAAAGUCAAAAUCGUCAUUAUUGAACUUGACCUCCAUUUUGUCAUCGGUAACAACAUGUUAAAAUUUGGGAAGCUUUGGUAGAACAGUUCAUGCGUAA